GAGCAGUGAUGAAGCGAUUGAGAAAGUCAUGCACCACUCUGAUUAUCAUGUGCUGAUAAAUUUCUCAUACCCAUAUACACAUCUGAGCCC
Molecule: non-coding RNA, 90 nt
Organism: Jatropha curcas
Lineage: Eukaryota; Viridiplantae; Streptophyta; Magnoliopsida; Malpighiales; Euphorbiaceae
Source: Rfam